Molecule: long non-coding RNA, 148 nt
Organism: Nothoprocta perdicaria
Lineage: Eukaryota; Metazoa; Chordata; Aves; Tinamiformes; Tinamidae
Exons: 3
Source: RefSeq, a predicted model, not a curated record
ACGAGCGGCGCCGGGCGCAGCACAACGAGGUGGAGCGGCGGCGCCGGGACAAGAUCAACAACUGGAUCGUGCAGCUCUCCAAGAUCAUCCCUGAGUGCGGCGCCGACAGCAGCAAGACCGGCGCGAGCAAGGGGGGCAUCCUGUGCAA